RNAcentral lists this ribosomal RNA (260 nucleotides) under uncultured Lactobacillus sp. Its description in RNAcentral is "partial 16S ribosomal RNA". It matches the Rfam family "Bacterial small subunit ribosomal RNA", at positions 103 to 354 of the family's 1533-position model. Lineage: Bacteria; Bacillati; Bacillota; Bacilli; Lactobacillales; Lactobacillaceae. The record is from RNAcentral.
UGGGUGAGUAACGCGUGGGUAACCUGCCCUUAAGUCUGGGAUACCAUUUGGAAACAGAUGCUAAUACCGGAUAAAAGCUACUUUCGCAUGAAAGAAGUUUAAAAGGCGGCGUAAGCUGUCGCUAAAGGAUGGACCUGCGAUGCAUUAGCUAGUUGGUAAGGUAACGGCUUACCAAGGCGAUGAUGCAUAGCCGAGUUUAGAGACUGAUCGGCCACAUUGGGACUGAGACACGGCCCAAACUCCUACGGGAGGCAGCAGGU